UCUGUGAAUCGUUACAUCAAAUGAAAGUAGUUCGUAAUAAUGAGAAAUCUAAGUUACAACAAAAUCAGACGGGAUGAAGCAGAAA
Molecule: non-coding RNA, 85 nt
Submitted as: unclassified sequences
Source: Rfam